UACGGAGGGUGCGAGCGUUAUCCGGAAUUACUGGGUUUAAAGGGUGCGUAGGCGGCCAAGUAAGUCAGGAGUGAAAGUUUGCGGCUCAACCGUAAAAUUGCUUUUGAUACUGCUUAGCUAGAAUCAGGAUGAGGUCAGCGGAAUGUGGCAUGUAGCGGUGAAAUGCAUAGAUAUGCCAUAGAACACCAAUUGCGAAGGCAGCUGGCUAGACCUGCAUUGACGCUGAGGCACGAAAGCGUGGGGAGCGAACAGG
RNAcentral lists this ribosomal RNA (253 nucleotides) under uncultured bacterium. Its description in RNAcentral is "partial 16S ribosomal RNA". It matches the Rfam family "Bacterial small subunit ribosomal RNA", at positions 524 to 776 of the family's 1533-position model. The record is from RNAcentral.